Molecule: ribosomal RNA, 497 nt
Filed under: uncultured bacterium
Lineage: Bacteria
Description: partial 16S ribosomal RNA
Rfam family: Bacterial small subunit ribosomal RNA
Source: RNAcentral
GAUGAACGCUGGCGGCGUGCCUAAUACAUGCAAGUCGAGCGAACAGACGAGGAGCUUGCUCCUCUGACGUUAGCGGCGGACGGGUGAGUAACACGUGGAUAACCUACCUAUAAGACUGGGAUAACUUCGGGAAACCGGAGAUAAUACCGGAUAAUAUAUUGAACCGCAUGGUUCAAUAGUGAAAGACGGUUUUGCUGUCACUUAUAGAUGGUUCCGCGCCGCAUUAGCUAGUUGGUAAGGUAACGGCUUACCAAGGCAACGAUGCGUAGCCGACCUGAGAGGGUGAUCGGCCACACUGGAACUGAGACACGGUCCAGACUCCUACGGGAGGCAGCAGUAGGGAAUCUUCCGCAAUGGGCGAAAGCCUGACGGAGCAACGCCGCGUGUGUGAUGAAGGUCUUCGGAUCGUAAAACUCUGUUAUUAGGGAAGAACAAAUGUGUAAGUAACUAUGCACGUCUUGACGGUACCUAAUCAGAAAGCCACGGCUAACUACGUG